CAUGCGGGUGUCGGCGCGUGCCUCUGA
This 27-nucleotide small RNA is filed under the name Bombyx mori (domestic silkworm). RNAcentral's name for it is "ovarian small RNA-13427". The record is from RNAcentral. Lineage: Eukaryota; Metazoa; Arthropoda; Insecta; Lepidoptera; Bombycidae.